UACGUAGGGUGCGAGCGUUAAUCGGAAUUACUGGGCGUAAAGCGUGCGCAGGCGGUUUUGUAAGCCAGAUGUGAAAUCCCCGGGCUCAACCUGGGAAUUGCAUCUGUGACUGCAUAGCUAGAGUACGGUAGAGGGGGAUGGAAUUCCGCGUGUAGCAGUGAAAUGCGUAGAUAUGCGGAGGAACACCGAUGGCGAAGGCAAUCCCCUGGACCUGUACUGACGCUCAUGCACGAAAGCGUGGGGAGCAAACGGG
RNAcentral lists this ribosomal RNA (253 nucleotides) under uncultured prokaryote. RNAcentral's name for it is "partial 16S ribosomal RNA". It matches the Rfam family "Bacterial small subunit ribosomal RNA", at positions 524 to 776 of the family's 1533-position model. The record is from RNAcentral.